AAUAGAUACCCGGGUAGUCCACGCCCUAAACGAUGUCAACUGGUUGUUGGGUCUUAACUGACUCAGUAACGAAGCUAACGCGUGAAGUUGACCGCCUGGGGAGUACGGCCGCAAGGUCGAAACUCAAAGGAAUUGACGGGGACCCGCACAAGCGGUGGAUGAUGUGGUUUAAUUCGAUGCAACGCGAAAAACCUUACCCACCUUUGACAUGGCAGGAACUUACCAGAGAUGGUUUGGUGCUCGAAAGAGAACCUGCACACAGGUGCUGCAUGGCUGUCGUCAGCUCGUGUCGUGAGAUGUUGGGUUAAGUCCCGCAACGAGCGCAACCCUUGCCAUUAGUUGCUACAUUCAGUUGAGCACUCUAAUGGGACUGCCGGUGACAAACCGGAGGAAGGUGGGGAUGACGUCAAGUCCUCAUGGCCCUUAUAGGUGGGGCUACACACGUCAUACAAUGGUUGGUACAAAGGGUUGCCAACCCGCGAGGGGAGCUAAUCCCAUAAAGCCAGUCGUAGUCCGGAUCGCAGUCUGCAACUCGA
Molecule: ribosomal RNA, 536 nt
Filed under: uncultured bacterium
Lineage: Bacteria
Description: bacterial SSU rRNA
Rfam family: Bacterial small subunit ribosomal RNA
Source: RNAcentral